AUGGCCACCAUGGUGCAGCCGGCGAUGCCGCCUGUGCACACUGCAUUGGAGUACAGCCUGCAGAAGUACCUCCUGCUGCUGGCCACCAUGGUGAUUACCGUCACUUACGCCGCUGGCUUCAACACGCCGGGAGGAGUCUGGCAGGUCACCCAUGAAGGCAAACUUGCCGGCGACCCCAUCAUCCUCGAAACCCACUACCACCGGUACCUCUCCUUUUACUACUGUAACGCCACAGCAUUCGGCGCAUCCCUCGUGGUCAUGGUCUUCAUCGUCAUCUUAACCGUCCGGCACGACGAGGAGAAGAGGAGGGGGGAGAUGGACCCCUUCCAGUCCGUCGUGCUGCUGCGGGUCUUCAUGCUGCUAGUCGUGCUCAGCCUCAUGGGCGCCUACGGCACCGGCACAUGCCGGGACAAGAGCUCCACCGUCUACUUUGCGGUGCUGGUGGCCGCCGUCUUGCUCUACAUCCCCGUCGUCAAGUUGCUGGAUCUAGACUGUUGGGUUACAGACAAGCACGAGGACCCGGUGAUGCUCAAAGCCCAAGAACGGCUCCGCAAGCUCCUGAUGCUCCUGGCGACGUUCGCGGUGAGCAUCACCUACUGCGCCGGGCUGAACACUCCGGGUGGCUUCUGGGACAGCACUGGGGGCGGCCACCACCCCGGCGAUGUGAUUCUCAAGGACCACCACAACGCGCGCCUGACGGUAUUCUUACUCUGCAACACCACGGCGUUCGUGGCGUCCCUGCUCAUCAUUAUGCUGCUCAUCGUCAACAGCAAGAAGCUCCAUGCUCUGUCUCUCGUGCUCUAUGCGUGUAUUGUCGUCACGCUUGUCGGCCUCAUCGGCGCAUAUGUCGCUGGCAGCUGCAGGAAGACCAGUACCACCGCCCAAGUGGUCGGCCUGGCCGGCGGCGCCGUGGCAUUGGCAUACAUCCUACGCUAUACUUUACCGUCAAAAUCCUUGUCUUGUUGUUCGAGUGGAGAAACACGAUUUUUUGCAACUCACCACAGUGCUGAGGAAGAGGCUAUGGACAAUGCUCACCCUCUUGUUGUACUCCUCGCCACUCUUGCUGCCACCAUCACCUACACAGCAGGCUUGGACCCGCCGGGUGGCCUUUGGCAGGACGACGGCGACGGGCACAUGGCCGGAGAUCCCAUGCUCCUCACGACCAACGCUGGGAGGUACAGGGCCUUCUUUUACUGCAACUCCGUUGCAUUCGUGACCUCCUUGGUGGUCAUCGUCCUGGUCCAGAUGGGGAAUCUGGUUAGGCACCAUAUGCUCUUGACAGCAAUGAUACUCAACCUGUUUGGCCUUAUUGGUGCGUAUGCUGCCGGGAGCUGCCGGGACGUGAGCACCUCCAUUUACGCCAUGGCCUUGACAGGUGCCGUCCUGGUCUAUGUGGUGAUCCAUAUUGUCUUCUUCACGCUGGACCACAAGGACAAGAAAGACAAUUAUCAAGAAGAAAAGUUGCUGGAGAAGAGGCGCAAACGGUUGCUCCUCUUUGCGGUCUUGGCAGCGACCAUCACCUACCAAGCCGGCCUCACCCCUCCUGGCGGAUUCUUGCUCCAGGACAAGCUCGGGCACCACGCUGGCGACCCGGUCCUCUUGUACAACUACCCGCGCCGCUACAAUGCCUUCUUCUACUCCAACUCGGUGAGCUUCAUGCUGUCCAUCACCCUCAUCAUCCUCUUGGUGAACCCCAACCUGUAUAGGCCAGCCAUACGAAGCAAUGCGCUAUCUGUUUGUAUGGUGGUGGGCUUGUUUUGUUCUAUGGGGGCCUACGCUGCCGGAAGCACGCAACACCGCAAGACAUCCAUCUACGUCUUCAUGUUGGUGGCCAUGGUUCUCUCCUUGUUUUACUGA
RNAcentral lists this ribosomal RNA (1857 nucleotides) under Triticum aestivum (bread wheat). RNAcentral's name for it is "partial small subunit ribosomal RNA". The record is from RNAcentral. Lineage: Eukaryota; Viridiplantae; Streptophyta; Magnoliopsida; Poales; Poaceae.